CAGAACAGUUCCUACUAGACCAGGCCCAGAUCCUGAACAGUUCCUACUAGACCAGGACCAGAUCCAGAACAGUUUCUACUAGACCAGGGCCAGAUCCAGAACAGUUCCUACUAGACCAGGGGCAGAUCCAGAACAGUUCCUACUAGACCAGGGGCAGAUCCAGAACAGUUUCUACUAGACCAGGGCCAGAUCCAGAACAGUUCCUACUAGACCAGGGUCAGAUCCAGAACAGUUCCUACUAGACCAGGGUCAGAUCCAGAACAGUUCCUACUAGACCAGGCUCAGAUCCAGAACAGUUCCUACUAGACCAGGGUCAGAUCCAGAACAGUUCCUACUAGACCAGGGGCAGAUCCAGAACAGUUCCUACUAGACCAGGCUCAGAUCCAGAACAGUUCCUACUAGACCAGGGUCAGAUCCAGAACAGUUCCUACUAGACCAGGGCCAGAUCCAGAACAGUUCCUACUAGACCAGGGCCAGAUCCAGAACAGUUCCUACUAGACCAGGGGCAGAUCCAGAACAGUUCCUACUAGACCAGGGUCAGAUCCAGAACAGUUCCUACUAGACCAGGGGCAGAUCCAGAACAGUUCCUACUAGACCAGGCUCAGAUCCAGAACAGUUCCUACUAGACCAGGGGCCAGAUCCAGAACAGUUCCUACUAGACCAGGGCCAGAUCCAGAACAGUUCCUACUAGACCAGGGCCAGAUCCAGAACAGUUCCUACUAGACCAGGGUCAGAUCCAGAACAGUUCCUACUAGACCAGGCCCAGAUCCAGAACAGUUCCUACUAGACCAGGGCCAGAUCCAGAACAGUUUCUACUAGACCAGGGCCAGAUCCAGAAGAGUUCCUACUAGACCAGGGCCAGAUCCAGAACAGUUCCUACUAGACCAGGGCCAGAUCCAGAACAGUUCCUACUAGACCAGGGCCAGAUCCAGAACAGUUCCUACUAGACCAGGGGCAGAUCCAGAACAGUUCCUACUAGACCAGGGCCAGAUCCAGAACAGUUUCUACUAGACCAGGCCCAGAUCCAGAACAGUUCCUACUAGACCAGGGCCAGAUCCAGAACAGUUCCUACUAGACCAGGGCCAGAUCCAGAACAGUUCCUACUAGACCAGGGCCAGAUCCAGAACAGUUCCUACUAGACCAGGCCCAGAUCCAGAACAGUUCCUACUAGACCAGGGCCAGAUCCAGAACAGUUCCUACUAGACCAGGCCCAGAUCCAGAACAGUUCCUACUAGACCAGGGCCAGAUCCAGAACAGUUCCUACUAGACCAGGGCCAGAUCCAGAACAGUUCCUACUAGACCAGGGCCAGAUCCAGAACAGUUCCUACUAGACCAGGGCCAGAUCCAGAACAGUUCCUACUAGACCAGGACCAGAUCCAGAACAGUUCCUACUAGACCAGGGCCAGAUCCAGAACAGUUCCUACUAGACCAGGGCCAGAUCCAGAACAGUUCCUACUAGACCAGGGCCAGAUCCAGAACAGUUCCUACUAGACCAGGCCCAGAUCCAGAACAGUUCCUACUAGACCAGGGCCAGAUCCAGAACAGUUCCUACUAGACCAGGGCCAGAUCCAGAACAGUUCCUACUAGACCAGGGCCAGAUCCAGAACAGUUCCUACUAGACCAGGGCCAGAUCCAGAACAGUUCCUACUAGACCAGGGCCAGAUCCAGAACAGUUCCUACUAGACCAGGGCCAGAUCCAGAACAGUUCCUACUAGACCAGGGCCAGAUCCAGAACAGUUCCUACUAGACCAGGCCCAGAUCCAGAACAG
This 1769-nucleotide long non-coding RNA is filed under the name Salmo salar (Atlantic salmon). RNAcentral describes it as "lncRNA (ENSSSAG00000088282.1)". Lineage: Eukaryota; Metazoa; Chordata; Actinopteri; Salmoniformes; Salmonidae. The record is from RNAcentral.